RNAcentral lists this ribosomal RNA (478 nucleotides) under uncultured bacterium. RNAcentral's name for it is "partial 16S ribosomal RNA". It matches the Rfam family "Bacterial small subunit ribosomal RNA", at positions 28 to 506 of the family's 1533-position model. The record is from RNAcentral.
GAUGAACGCUAGCGGGAGGCCUAACACAUGCAAGCCGAGCGGUAGAGUUUCUUCGGAAACUUGAGAGCGGCGCACGGGUGCGUAACACGUGUGCAACCUACCUUUAUCUGGGGGAUAGCCUUUCGAAAGGAAGAUUAAUACCCCAUAAUAUAAUGAUUGGCAUCAAUUAUUAUUGAAAACUCCGGUGGAUAGAGAUGGGCACGCGCAAGAUUAGAUAGUUGGUGAGGUAACGGCUCACCAAGUCAAUGAUCUUUAGGGGUCCUGAGAGGGAGAUCCCCCACACUGGUACUGAGACACGGACCAGACUCCUACGGGAGGCAGCAGUGAGGAAUAUUGGACAAUGGGUGAGAGCCUGAUCUAGCCAUCCCGCGUGAAGGAUGACGGUCCUAUGGAUUGUAAACUCCUUUUGUACAGGGAUAAACCUACCCUCGUGAGGGUAGCUGAAGGUACUGUACGAAUAAGCACCGGCUAACUCCGU